RNAcentral lists this transfer RNA (85 nucleotides) under Parcubacteria bacterium C7867-004. RNAcentral's name for it is "tRNA-Ser". It matches the Rfam family "tRNA". From Rfam's summary of the family: Transfer RNA (tRNA) molecules are approximately 80 nucleotides in length. Their secondary structure includes four short double-helical elements and three loops (D, anti-codon, and T loops). Further hydrogen bonds mediate the characteristic L-shaped molecular structure. tRNAs have two regions of fundamental functional importance: the anti-codon, which is responsible for specific mRNA codon recognition, and the 3' end, to which the tRNAs corresponding amino acid is attached (by aminoacyl-tRNA synthetases). tRNAs cope with the degeneracy of the genetic code in two manners: having more than one tRNA (with a specific anti-codon) for a particular amino acid; and 'wobble' base-pairing, i.e. permitting non-standard base-pairing at the 3rd anti-codon position. Lineage: Bacteria; Candidatus Parcubacteria. The record is from RNAcentral.
GGAGGGGUGCGUGAGUGGUUGAAACGACCGGUUUCGAAAACCGGCAUGCCGAAAGGUAUCGGGAGUUCGAAUCUCCCCCCCUCCG